Molecule: ribosomal RNA, 488 nt
Filed under: Ligia vitiensis
Lineage: Eukaryota; Metazoa; Arthropoda; Malacostraca; Isopoda; Ligiidae
Description: partial 16S ribosomal RNA
Rfam family: Bacterial large subunit ribosomal RNA
Source: RNAcentral
UGCUUAGUUAAACUAUACUAAGUAGACUCUGCCCAAUGAAUUAACUUAAAUGGCCGCAGUAUCCUAACUGUGCUAAGGUAGCAUAAUAAUUUGCCUCUUAAUUAGAGGCUGGAAUGAAUGAGCUGACGAAGGGUAAACUGUCUCCGCAGGACUGAUCUAACUUGAUAUUUAUGUAAAAAAGCAUAAAUUCAAUAGGGGGACGAUAAGACCCUAAAAGCUUCUCCUUAAACUUUUUCUAACCUUUAAUCUUAAAAAGAGCUACAGGAUUUUACUGGGGCGGUAAAUCUCAAAACAAGAAAUAUUUAUACACACUGAGUGUUUUUUACUACCUUUUUUUUAAUACAAAAUUAAGUUACUUUAGGGAUAACAGCACUAUUUCUUGAUAGAGUUCGUAUCGACCAAGAAGAUUGUGACCUCGAUGUUGAAUUGAAGAAUCUCCUCGGAGCAGUAUCUAAAGCGGAAAGACUGUUCGUCUUUUAAAUCUUCAC